This 109-nucleotide ribosomal RNA is filed under the name Acanthosepion pharaonis. The record is from RNAcentral. Lineage: Eukaryota; Metazoa; Mollusca; Cephalopoda; Sepiida; Sepiidae.
UUACGGCCACGUCACGUUGAAACAUUGGUUCUCAAACGAUCACCGAAGUUAAGCAACGUCGAUCCUGGUUAGUACCUAAAUGGGUGAUUCCUUGGAAAUACCAGGCGCU